RNAcentral lists this ribosomal RNA (465 nucleotides) under uncultured bacterium. Its description in RNAcentral is "partial 16S ribosomal RNA". It matches the Rfam family "Bacterial small subunit ribosomal RNA", at positions 338 to 795 of the family's 1533-position model. The record is from RNAcentral.
CCUACGGGGGGCAGCAGUAGGGAAUCUUCCACAAUGGGCGAAAGCCUGAUGGAGCAACGCCGCGUGGGUGAAGAAGGUCUUCGGAUCGUAAAACCCUGUUGUUAGAGAAGAAAGUGCGUGAGAGUAACUGUUCACGUUUCGACGGUAUCUAACCAGAAAGCCACGUCUAACUACGUGCCAGCAGCCGCUGUAAUACGUAGGUGGCAAGCGUUAUCCGGAUUUAUUGGGCGUAAAGGGAACGAAGGCGGUCCUGUAAGUCUGAUGUGAAAGCCUUCGGCUUAACCGGAGUAGUGCAUUGGAAACUGGGAGACUGGAGUGCAGAAGAGGAGAGGGGAACUCCAUGUGUAGCGGUGAAAUGCGUAGAUAUAUGGAAGAACACCAGGGGCGAAAGCGGCUCUCUGGUCUGUAACUGACGCUGAGGUUCGAAAGCGUGGGUAGCAAACAGGAUUAGAUACCCCAGUAGUC